This 336-nucleotide long non-coding RNA is filed under the name Homo sapiens (human). Its description in RNAcentral is "HSALNT0250183". The record is from RNAcentral. Lineage: Eukaryota; Metazoa; Chordata; Mammalia; Primates; Hominidae.
ACCCCUGUUGACUGAAGGGAUGUUGAUCUCAUCCCACCCCUAUGGAUAGGGCUCCUAUUCAGCUAAGAGCAGCAGUAGGAAUGUAUAUCCAACUAUUCCAAACAGGAAGUGAUCUACAGGUAUCCUAAAUCUUCCUAUUUUCAUUCAAGGUCCAUCCACCUUGCUUUAACUUGCAUUCUUUGCCCAUUACUUUCAUUUUUUCUGUGGAUGCAGAGAAUUCCUUGUCUGGAGGCCAAGAGAAAGCCUGAGGCCCAUCACCAAACUAUCAUCUCAGUAGCCCUAACCUGUCACCAGGACACAUUUUGUUGAACAACAGAUUCCCGGAAGAAACUCCAG